This 293-nucleotide ribosomal RNA is filed under the name uncultured bacterium. Its description in RNAcentral is "partial 16S ribosomal RNA". The record is from RNAcentral. RNAcentral also lists the same sequence under 1 other name.
GGACUACUGGGGUAUCUAAUCCUGUUUGCUCCCCACGCUUUCGUGCAUGAGCGUCAGUGUUGGCCCAGGGGGCUGCCUUCGCCAUCGGUAUUCCUCCACAUCUCUACGCAUUUCACUGCUACACGUGGAAUUCUACCCCCCUCUGCCACACUCAAAGCCUGCCAGUCACCAAUGCAGUUCCCAGGUUAAGCCCGGGGAUUUCACAUCGGUCUUAACAGACCGCCUGCGCACGCUUUACGCCCAGUAAUUCCGAUUAACGCUCGCACCCUACGUAUUACCGCGGCUGCUGGCAC